AAUUCAGCGAUAAAGCAUUUUUUUUUACAUUUUUACAGUUUUUAAGGAAUAGUUCAUUUAGGAUUCUCCACCAAGUAUUUAAGUCUCCUUUAAUAAGAAAUUCCAUAUUUACAAACACAGAGGGCGCUUUGUAUCAUUCGAAACCAGUUGGGGAUACUGGAAAGACGAUUGAUCAACUUUUUGAAGAGAAAAUGAAUGAAUACAAAACCAAAAGCAGAAGCAUUGGAGGAAAAUUAUUUGAACCAACUGAAAAGAUAUUGAAAGAACUUAACGACGAAUAUUGUCGUAUAAAUAAAUUAUACGGUGUUGAAGAUGAAGCAGAAUUUGAAGAAUUCCCAACUUUUGAUUUCAAGGACCCGGAAAUCGAUCCAAUUAAUGAAAUAAAUACAGACAAUGACGAGUCUUCAGAAAAUAAAUAGUAAAUUUGUAUAUUUUUCUAUCAAA
Long non-coding RNA from Episyrphus balteatus (marmalade hoverfly), 444 nucleotides. RefSeq lists it as uncharacterized. The record is from RefSeq and is a predicted model, not a curated record. The transcript is spliced from 2 exons. NCBI's taxonomy places the organism in Eukaryota, Metazoa, Arthropoda, Insecta, Diptera, Syrphidae.